RNAcentral lists this transfer RNA (65 nucleotides) under Xylosandrus crassiusculus. Its description in RNAcentral is "tRNA-Tyr". It matches the Rfam family "tRNA". Rfam says of the family: Transfer RNA (tRNA) molecules are approximately 80 nucleotides in length. Their secondary structure includes four short double-helical elements and three loops (D, anti-codon, and T loops). Lineage: Eukaryota; Metazoa; Arthropoda; Insecta; Coleoptera; Curculionidae. The record is from RNAcentral.
GGUAAAAUGGCUGAGUAUAAGGCGAUAAAUUGUAAAUUUAUUAACAAGAUUAAUUCUUUUUUAUC